UACGGAGGGUGCAAGCGUUGCUCGGAAUUAUUGGGCGUAAAGGGUAGGUAGGUGGUCUCAUUUGUCUAGGGUGAAAGCCUUGAGCUUAACUCAAGAAGUGCCCUAGAAACGGUGAGACUGGAGUACUGGAGAGGGUCGUGGAAUUCCCGGUGUAGCGGUGAAAUGCGUAGAGAUCGGGAGGAACACCAGAGGCGAAAGCGGCGGCCUGGACAGUUACUGACACUCAACUACGAAAGCGUGGGGAGCAAACAGG
RNAcentral lists this ribosomal RNA (253 nucleotides) under uncultured bacterium. Its description in RNAcentral is "partial 16S ribosomal RNA". It matches the Rfam family "Bacterial small subunit ribosomal RNA", at positions 524 to 776 of the family's 1533-position model. The record is from RNAcentral.